This 460-nucleotide ribosomal RNA is filed under the name uncultured bacterium. Its description in RNAcentral is "partial 16S ribosomal RNA". It matches the Rfam family "Bacterial small subunit ribosomal RNA", at positions 338 to 795 of the family's 1533-position model. The record is from RNAcentral.
CCUACGGGAGGCAGCAGUGAGGAAUAUUGGUCAAUGGACGAGAGUCUGAACCAGCCAAGUAGCGUGAAGGAUGACUGCCCUAUGGGUUGUAAACUUCUUUUAUAUGGGAAUAAAAUGUUCCACGUGUGGGAUUUUGUAUGUACCAUAUGAAUAAGGAUCGGCUAACUUCGUGCCAGCAGCCGCUGUAAUACGGAGGAUCCGAGCGUUAUCCGGAUUUAUUGGGUUUAAAGGGUGCGUAGGUGGAUUGUUAAGUCAGUUGUGAAAGUUUGCGGCUCAACCGUAAAAUUGCAGUUGAAACUGGCAGUCGUGAGUACAGUAGAGGUGGGCGGAAUUCGUGGUGUAGCGGUGAAAUGCUUAGAUAUCACGAAGAACUCCGAUUGCGAAGGCAGCUCACUGGACUGCAACUGACACUGAGGCUCGAAAGUGUGGGUAUCAAACAGGAUUAGAUACCCGGGUAGUC